GAUGAAGAACGCAGCGAAAUGCGAUAAGAAAUGUGAAUUGCAGAAUUCAGUGAAUCAUCGAAUCUUUGAACGCACAUUGCGCCCGCCAGUAUUCUGGCGGGCAUGCCUGUCUGAGCGUCAUUUCAACCCUCAUGCCCCUAGGGCGUGGUGUUGGGGAUCGGCCAAAGCCCGCGAGGGACGGCCGGCCCCUAAAUCUAGUGGCGGACCCGUCGUGGCCUCCUCUGCGAAGUAGUGAUAUUCCGCAUCGGAGAGCGACGAGCCCCUGCCGUUAAACCCCCAACUUUCCAAGGUUGACCUCAGAUCAGGUAGGAAUACCCGCUGAACUUAAGCAUAUCAAUAAGCGGAGGA
This 348-nucleotide unclassified non-coding RNA is filed under the name soil metagenome. RNAcentral describes it as "partial contains 5.8S ribosomal RNA, internal transcribed spacer 2, and large subunit ribosomal RNA". The stretch from base 1 to 120 matches the Rfam family "5.8S ribosomal RNA", at positions 35 to 154 of the family's 154-position model. The record is from RNAcentral.